RNAcentral lists this long non-coding RNA (1707 nucleotides) under Cricetulus griseus (Chinese hamster). RNAcentral describes it as "lncRNA (ENSCGRG00015040871.1)". The record is from RNAcentral. Lineage: Eukaryota; Metazoa; Chordata; Mammalia; Rodentia; Cricetidae.
CUCAUAUUUAAGUGAAGGAGAAACAGGAAGGGCCUUCUUUUCCCCUCCACUCCUGCUCCAGCAGUACAAUGUGAUCCACCAGCAAGGAGGGACACCGUCAAGGUGAUGGAACUGAGGCUUGAAGAAGAUAAAGAAGUUGCCCAGAUCAAAUAGUACCUAAAAAAUCCAGAAUCUGAGCUCAUAAAAGAUAAUAAGAAGGAGGUCAGAGGCAACCAAUGGCAAGUCUACAGGCAGAGCUAUCUCUAAAAACUGCAAAGAAAUAUAUAACCCAGAGUUCCUCAGCCAGCAACACCACCACACUUCCUUACAGCAAGUACAGGGCCUGCAAGAGUUUGUACCAGUUUGUGUGUGUGAUAUAUAUAUAUAUAUAUAUAUAUAUAUAUAUAUAUAUAUAUUAUGGCUGUUAGCUUGGUGUUUAUAUACAACUCCUCACAGUAGGAACAGGUAUGGCUCUGAUUCUUUUGCCUGCUCUUGGGACUCUUUUUCUCCUAUUGGGUUGCCUUCUCCAAGCUCAAUAUGAGGCCUUUGCCUCAUCUUACUGUAUCUUGUUAUGCUGUGUUUGGUUAUUGUCUCUUAGAAGCCUGCUCUUUUCUAAAGGGAAAUGGGGUUAGUGGAUCUUGGGGGGAGGGGAGGUUGGAGGGCUGGGAAGUGUGGAAGGAGGGAACUGUAAUUCAGAUGUAUUGGAUGAGAGAAAAAUCUGUUUACAAUCAAAUAAAUAAAUAAACAAAAGAAUACUGAACAUCAAAAAAAAAUAAGAAAGAAAGAAAGAAAGAAAUUUCAUCCUAAGCAUGAAUCAAAAGGACUGUCAUAUUAGGUAAGAAUUAACUGGGAAAUUGAGCUAACUAGAAAGUUGUCUUGCUCACAUAUCCCUACUCAACAAGAUGUUAUUGCUUGGGAAUGUUAUAGAACAAUGGCAGGACUGGAUAAAAUCAUCACGAAUGUGAAUAACGUUUUGUGAGAUUAGCAUCCAUUUAAAGUUUUCAGUAAAUAAGUUAUAGCAGAGCUAAAAUUUAGCUGCUGCUUGGCAUGUCCCAACACAAAAAGAAAAAAAAUGCUUGGUAAAGAGUGAGCUGAUAGCUGUGGGUGGAAGAAAUAGCACCAACAUCCUUUAAAAUGCAUUGGGGCAUCAGAUUUGUGCCAGUUUUAGAGAGAGGGCAACAGCAGAGAAGGUGCUUAACAUCCCUUCUGUUACGUAGAAAACAUUAUUUACAAAAUCAGAUGUGCUCAAAUUCAGAGCACAAAACUGUGUGUCCUUUCUGAGACAAAAUAUUAAAGAUGGAUAAAUAUUUGGGAAAAGAGAACUGUCAGUAUUUCAUUUUUAAAUAAAAUGUCGACAUCUCUAACCUCGGUUAUUUCUGGUUUGUAGAAGAUGAUGUGCUGCAAAGCUAAUCCUUAGUCCCUAUAACAAGAUGCAGCCACAAUCAUAGCAGGAUGCUAGCAACCAAGUCCAGAGACUUGGCUGGAAGAAGUGGUGCUGUGUACAUCCCCUACAUGCCCCUGGGGGACUGUCAGUGAGGUUUGGCUCUCUAACAGGGCAAAUUUCAUGCUGGCUUGAGCUUGAUACCCCUGUGUUUCUAUUGAAUUUUAUUUACAAAGUAACAUGCAAAGCCCUAGAAUACAAUUUCAAGGACUUUCUUUCAGGGUGGGAUAAAGACUGAGGAUGGGGACAGGUGUGUGUGUGUGUGUGUGUGUGUGUGUGUGUGUGUG